Molecule: long non-coding RNA, 437 nt
Filed under: Sphaeramia orbicularis (orbiculate cardinalfish)
Lineage: Eukaryota; Metazoa; Chordata; Actinopteri; Kurtiformes; Apogonidae
Description: lncRNA (ENSSORG00005014849.1)
Source: RNAcentral
CGCAUUCCUCCUGUGCUCCCUCGCCUUGCUGUCCGCUCUCUGCCGGCCUGGUCUCUCCUUCGAGGAAGAGCUGCUGCCGGGACUCACCUAUGAUGAAGUGCCUGAAAUCCUGGACAGAAGUAAAGACAACCCCAAACAAGCAACAAGAGUCACAUCAAGUCAAGAUGGUGGGUACGGCUUAGAAAGUGAAGAAGUUAUUUUGACGCCUGAAGAUGAAAACCCGCUCAGGAGAAUACUGCAGCCUUUUAACUGGCACCAGCCAGGGAUGUCUCAUAGUAAGAGGAAGCUGCUCCAGUCACUGAUGGGACCUUAUGGCCCACUGAGUGUAUCUUAUAACGGGAAGACCUGCAUUUUGUUUAAAGCAAAGCGCCUGGCAAUCCGCUACAGGAACCACACUUUCAUUGACCUGACCGAGAGGGUCUUUAACCCAAACUCAC